AGUGAACGCUGGCGGCGUGCUUAACACAUGCAAGUCGAACGAGAACGGAAUAUAGCUUGCUAUAUUUGUCAGCUAAGUGGCGCACGGGUGAGUAAUGUAUAGAUAACCUGCCCUUAAGAAAGGAAUAACAGUUGGAAACGACUGCUAAUGCCCUAUAUGCCUUUAAUACAUAAGUAUGCAAGGGAAACGCUUUAGUGCUUAAGGAUGGGUCUGUAUGGUAUCAGCUUGUUGGUGAGGUAAUGGCUCACCAAGGCUAUGACGCCUAACUGGUUUGAGAGGAUGAUCAGUCACACUGGAACUGAGACACGGUCCAGACUCCUACGGGAGGCAGCAGUGGGGAAUAUUGCACAAUGGACGAAAGUCUGAUGCAGCAACGCCGCGUGGAGGAUGACACAUUUCGGUGCGUAAACUCCUUUUAUAUAGGAAGAUAAUGACGGUACUAUAUGAAUAAGCACCGGCUAACUACGUGCCAGCAGCCG
This 479-nucleotide ribosomal RNA is filed under the name uncultured bacterium. Its description in RNAcentral is "bacterial SSU rRNA". It matches the Rfam family "Bacterial small subunit ribosomal RNA", at positions 29 to 517 of the family's 1533-position model. The record is from RNAcentral.